GUUGAAGUACUCUAAUUCGACCCGUGACCAGCAGAUAUUAGCCAGAAAGGGCUCCUUCCCCUUCUUGCUGCCAUAGAAGCAUGAAAAAAUGGAGUUUUCCUGUAACCAUUCUGAAACCAAGAAAGCCCUUAUUUCUGCCUAUAGAAUGAUUCUUCCACGACUCUCGCUUGGGUUCUAACUUCAAACUUCAUAGGAGUUCUGACCCACUUGACUUUUUGGUACCGAAAACAAAGUCAUGAAAAAAUGGAGUUUUCCUGUGACCAUUCUGAAACCAAGAAAGCCUUUAUUUCUGCCUAUGGAAUGAUUCUUCCACGACUCUCGCUUGGGUUCUAACUUCAAACUUCAUAGGAGUUCUGACCCACUUGACUUUUUGGUACCGAAAACAAAGGUUCGAAAUCCCAGUUGAGGCAAAGGUAUUGAAGAGCAGAUAGACCCGGAAGAUUCCAACCUUCUAGAUGGAGCCAGGUUAGGUCACUUCGAUCGCUUAAUUGACUUUUUGGUCUGGCCAAUUCGAGUGGUAAACGCGGCUUCCAAAGAGGUGGGUAAAUAAAAUAGGACCGAAAGGGAGGUCUCAUUUUCGCAUUUGAUCCUGGAAGAAGGGAAAGCAAGUAUGCCCGCUUACCCUCACUGACAAAGGUAAAAAAGGAUAAGGAGCAAAGACCCCUAGAUUGGUGUUUUGCAUGAGGAGAUUGUUCUGACUCUUUUCGAAUCAUCAUCAGAGGAGACAGAAAAGCACCCUUUCCAUUCGUUGAGAACGAUUGCCUAUAGUCCGCCUUUCAUUCGAUCAUGCAAGAAGAGAAUCACUUUUUUGUACCGAAAACAAAGGUUCGAAAUCCCAGUUGAGGCAAAGGUAUUGAAGAGCAGAUAGACCCGGAAGAUUCCAACCUUCUAGAUGGAGCCAGGUUAGGUCACUUCGAUCGCUUAAGCCCUUACUGCGGUAGAGUAGGACGCUUUAGUUGGCAAGGUUAUAUGGUCUAUAAUUCUGCCACCUGUGAAAGAAUGGUUAGGUCGCUUCGAUCGUAUAAGCCCUUACCGCGGUAGAGUAGGACGCAUUAGUUGGCAAGGUUAUAUGGUCUAUAAUUCUGCCACCUGUGAAAGAAAGGUUGCCAAAGAUGUUAUGAAUGGCAUUUCCACCGAUUGAGGAGAAAGAGCCAGCCGUAGUCCCACUAAUCUAAUGUAAUAAAGGCCAAUGGAACAUGCUUAUACUCGGUCAGGAGGGAAUUAGGCUCUCUCAUUGCUUCUUUCAUUCCAUCUCCGCUCCUCUUCAUCAAGUUCUACAAGACUUGAAGACAUGUGCCUAAGGAAAGCGAUUGAGCAAAGAAGGUUCACAAUGCAAUUGAGCUAAAGUGGGAAAAAAAGAUCCCACUUUCACAAACUAUGCUUGAUCACAGGGGACUUUGACU
RNAcentral lists this long non-coding RNA (1403 nucleotides) under Nicotiana benthamiana. Its description in RNAcentral is "long non-coding RNA (NBEN_LNC008214)". Lineage: Eukaryota; Viridiplantae; Streptophyta; Magnoliopsida; Solanales; Solanaceae. The record is from RNAcentral.